UUGGCCUACGGGGCGCAGCAGUGGGGAAUAUUGCGCAAUGGGCGAAAGCCUGACGCAGCGACGCCGCGUGAGGGAUGAAGGUCUUCGGAUCGUAAACCUCUGUCAGCAGGGAAGAACGGUCACUGUGCUAAUCAGCAGUGAAUUGACGGUACCUGACUAAGAAGCCCCGGCUAACUACGUGCCAGCAGCCGCGGUAAUACGUAGGGGGCAAGCGUUAUCCGGAUUUACUGGGUGUAAAGGGAGCGUAGACGGUUAAUCAAGUCAGAAGGGAAAACCCAGGGCUCAACCUUGGGACUGCUUUUGAA
Molecule: ribosomal RNA, 305 nt
Filed under: uncultured bacterium
Lineage: Bacteria
Description: bacterial SSU rRNA
Rfam family: Bacterial small subunit ribosomal RNA
Source: RNAcentral